GUGUCAGCAGCCGCGGUAAUACGUAGGUGGCAAGCGUUGUCCGGAAUUAUUGGGCGUAAAGCGCGCGCAGGCGGUUCUUUAAGUUGGGUGUUAAAGGCAGCGGCUCAACCGCUGUUCGCACCCAAAACUGGGGAACUUGAGUGCAGGAGAGGAUAGUGGAAUUCCCGGUGUAGCGGUGGAAUGCGUAGAGAUCGGGAGGAACACCAGUGGCGAAGGCGACUGUCUGGCCUGCAACUGACGCUGAGGCGCGAAAGCGUGGGGAGCAAACAGGAUUAGAUACCCUGGUAGUCC
RNAcentral lists this ribosomal RNA (291 nucleotides) under uncultured bacterium. RNAcentral's name for it is "partial 16S ribosomal RNA". It matches the Rfam family "Bacterial small subunit ribosomal RNA", at positions 505 to 796 of the family's 1533-position model. The record is from RNAcentral.